RNAcentral lists this ribosomal RNA (363 nucleotides) under Triticum aestivum (bread wheat). RNAcentral's name for it is "partial small subunit ribosomal RNA". The record is from RNAcentral. Lineage: Eukaryota; Viridiplantae; Streptophyta; Magnoliopsida; Poales; Poaceae.
AUGUGUUCUAGGAGGCAAAUUCGAGCUCCAUAUUACUUGGUCUGCUGCUUCUUCUGGGUUGUCUUCUACCUUCCAGUAGAUUCUAUGAAGCUCCAAUGGCUAUCAAACAGAUGCAUCGAAUUUAAGUGUCAGGAGUCUGCCUUUUGGUAUGCCCUUGUGGCAAAAAAAUACUUCUGCAAAGUUGUAGUCACAACUAUAAUUAUCCAAGGAGGAAGUGUUGUAAAAGGAGGAGAUGUCUUGCUCUACUGCUGCUUGGUACCAGACGUGAACAACUUCAUUAGGAGUUUACUGCAUGGUUGGAGGAAGGUAUUGAUGCCACUAGAGAUAAUAAACCAUUUGGAUCCCAAUACCAUACCAUGUUGA